AUCUUAUUAAGAGUGGUGGAGGGACUGGCCCUUUGAAACCCGGCAACCUGACAAAAAUUUAUAUUAAUUUUUUCGUGGUGCUAAAUCCUGCAAGAGAUAUCUUGAAAAAUGAGAG
RNAcentral lists this non-coding RNA (115 nucleotides) under Clostridium puniceum. RNAcentral describes it as "SAM-I sequence". It matches the Rfam family "SAM riboswitch aptamer (S box leader)". Rfam says of the family: The SAM riboswitch is found upstream of a number of genes which code for proteins involved in methionine or cysteine biosynthesis in Gram-positive bacteria. The SAM riboswitch acts at the level of transcription termination control. Lineage: Bacteria; Bacillati; Bacillota; Clostridia; Eubacteriales; Clostridiaceae. The record is from Rfam by way of RNAcentral.